AUACCACGGGGCUGGCUGAAAAUGGGAGAAGUUGCUCUUAUCUAUCAUGGCUGCACUUUCCGAAAUGCAUAGACCUGGCCUGGUAGGGUCGAAGGGAGCAAGGGUGGAAGGGGGGUGUUCCAUCUGCAGGCACAUGGGAAUAAUUCAAGGAAUAUCUCGAGGCUUUUAACUACAGCAUAAAUACAUAAGGAAAAAAAAAAAAAGCCAGACAGUUUCGGAGCCAGCAUCAACUUCGCCAGGCUGUGUUCUUUGUUUCUAGGCAGACUCCAGUGCGGUGGCAAGAACGAACAAAUGCGCAUGUCUUCAUAAGAGUCCAAAAAAAAAAACGAAGAAGAAAAAUGCCCCCUCCCCUGUGACCGCGGUAGCGUUAGGGGAGUCCUGCACACACUUCGUGCCGCUUUUUCCACAAGUCAAGUCGGCUUCCACCCUGUCCUGGGCAGGCGUUUCGCUACUCUACGGGGCGUUCGCGGAAAAAUUGCGUACGCCGGGACAGUCAUCAGGGAAAAAAAGCGCGACGUGAAGCAGCUGAGAGAGUAAAUCAUAAAGCCGUCGUACAUGUUCUGCAUACUGCAAACGGGGAGCUAAUUUCCUGGCAGCCGUCUUCAGGAUGCUUCAAGUCAGUCUGCUCCAAUGUGGCCCUUAAAAACCUCACAGCGUCCAGCUGCAAGAAACCCCACUCAUUUCUGACUUUAGCAUCUAAUUCCCACAAAUACAGAUAUUUUAAUUAUGCAUUUUGUCAAGGUGAGCUGAAAACAACCAGCAGCUACCAGAUCACCGAAGAAAACAAAGUCAGUCAUAUAUUUAUUCUAAAAAAAUCAGCUUUUUAUGGAGUUCGGUGAUGUUUGCUAUGUUUUGUCAAGCAUGAGCUCAACCAGAAGCAGAAAGAAGCAGCCGAGGGUUGUUUAUGGCACACAGAGCGGCCCUUCCUGACAGCAGCACUAAUGGAAAUGACUAUAAUAAAACCACCAGUGUUUGUGGUCUAAGCAGCAAAGCGGGAGCCCUGAUUUCUGCCCCCUGUUCUGACAACCACUUCCCAGUGACGAGGAGCAGAUCACUUCUCCCCUCUUCCUAGUUACAGCCACUGUUUUGUAGUUGAGAUCAAUUAGUUAAUGUUUGAAAAGUCAGUUGAAGAUGAAAAAGCAUUUACAUACUGCUAAUAAAACCAUAAUGAUCCCACUGUUAAACAUUAAACAUACAAUGACGUGUAAAAAAAAAAAAAAAAAUCACUUUAAUGGAAAAUUCCUCUUGCUGCAAAGUCAAAGGAUUAGCUCCUAAAAAAAGGAAGGACAAGCUCAAGAUUGCAUCAUAGCAUCCAGCUGUGUCUCAGGGGUCUGGCUUCUGUUUAGGUCUCUGCCACUGAUUAUUUGUGUGGCCAUGGACACAUCACUUGGGCAGUUGCUGAAGAGGUUGGUGGGCCGACCCACCUGAAAGUGGCAAGUUAAUCCAGAGCUAGCCAAAAAUCAUCAGACGUGUCUGGAAAAUGCUGGCCUUCAUAAUUUUGUGUGGCUGCUUCCCCAUCUGCUAAACACGAUGAGGAUUGCAGCUGCGUAGCCUGAUUUUUCAGGGCAAGAUAACCCAGCAGCAAGCAAACCCUGACACCGGGGUCCUUAAAAUCCAGGAGAGCUGUGCUGCUCGCAAGACACUUGUAUCACACUGCGGUGUGUGGAAUAAAAGCAGAUGUGUGGAACUUUCUAGAGAUUUUUCUUGGCGAUGAGUCUCUCUUUAGAUGUAAAACCGGUAGCUGUGCCACUGGUAGGGCUCUGGGUCGCCGUAUGUAGAGCAAUGCAUGUCUGAUGCUCUGACCUACAGGCAAGAAAGAGGAGAGGAACCAGGAAAACCACAUUUGUACCUUUGGGCCUGCACAGCGCCAUAUUCAUGGUGAUGAGCCACCGGUGUUUCUGGCAGGGCAGAAGCCGUGAGUGGGAUUUGCACAAUAGGAGCUCCAGGCAGUUCAGGGUUUGGCACAGUGAUCUCAGAGAGGAGAACUCCUCUCCAAAAAGAGCAGCCCUUUGACAAGGUAACCCUCGUUUCCUCAGUCCAACUGCCCUUCACAAGGAGCAUCCCAGAGCUGCAACAGCCUUUUCCAUCUUCCUCCUGAAAUCUGACGCUACCCUGCUUUGAUGGUGAUCAGUUGUUGACUGCAGAAAAGCUGAAUCAUGAAACAGAGGUUAUAAACAAGGUUAUUUUUAAUGAAGGAAAGAAAUUCCACAUCAUGCAGAAGUCAGAGCAAGGAACUGGCAGAUAGGGCUCGCAGGUCUCACCCCUGCCCUGAUAGUCUCCAUGUCCUGAAACAAAUUACGAUGUCUCUAACCUUUAAUUUACCUGCUUGUAACACAGACAAAGCAGCAGACUCCAGUUGUGCUUUCUUUGUACAAGCAAAGCUCCUGGUGUGACAGUAAAGCGGUGCUGGGAGCUGCGCAAUGCCUGGGGCUGGCUUUCACUGUCGCCCAGCACCUUGCAGAGCUAUUUUCAGCCAUGCAAAAUGAUCAUGCACAGUAUUUCAGCAAUGUUCAUAGACGUUUUGAAGGCAGAGAGAGACUACCCAGUCUGAUUCCACGAUCCCAUAUUUCACAGUCUUACAUUUCAAUUCCCACAUGCUGGAAUUCCCACAUGCCUGGUUACUUCUGCUUCAUUUUGCACACUGAAAACUCAGACAAAUUUUGUAGCCCAGAGUCUCCUAUUACAUCCUUCAGGCACCGGCGUGCUGCAGGGUGUGUGUUGUAGAUACCCAGCUCAGAGGGAGGGAAGACAAGUCUGGUACACCUACAGCUAACUAAUAAAUUUCCUGCUUAUGCCACUUCUUAUCUCUCACACUUAAAUUAUUUCCAGAAAAGCAUAUUUCAUUUUCCUUAGGAAAGACGCCUCAACUCAGGGAAGCAGGAGACUGAGGCUGGGACUGGCCAGGCUUCCAUGCACUGCCCGAGGAAUAUGAACAACCUCACGUACAGAUCCUUGCAAACCUGUCUUCUGUGCUCCAUGCUGAUUAACGAGCAUUUUGGGUGCAUCUCUAACUUUACAUAUAUAACUACUAAGGUUAAAGAACUCUAGCUUUUUUGAAAAUAUUUUAUAAGUGUAUGUAUUUUUUUAUUUUUAUAUAUAUAUAAACACACAUACAUAAACUUACAAAAACUUCAGGAGA
This is a long non-coding RNA of Columba livia (rock pigeon), 3139 nucleotides long. RefSeq lists it as uncharacterized. The record is from RefSeq and is a predicted model, not a curated record. The transcript has 2 exons. Lineage: Eukaryota; Metazoa; Chordata; Aves; Columbiformes; Columbidae.